Molecule: long non-coding RNA, 640 nt
Organism: Chinchilla lanigera (long-tailed chinchilla)
Lineage: Eukaryota; Metazoa; Chordata; Mammalia; Rodentia; Chinchillidae
Exons: 4
Source: RefSeq, a predicted model, not a curated record
GAGGGCAAGAUGACCUGGAGGGGAAUGGGCAUGGUCUAGCAAGUGGGAGGCUGUGCUAUAUAAAUGUAUGACCACCCCAAUCAUGGAAAUGCAGAUCUCUGCAAGACCCACUGGUUGGGAACUCAUCCAAAAUAGUUUGCCCUGGAGCACUGCAGAGAAAUCUGUGUAGAGACUGGAAGUGGGAAGUAGAUGGAAUACAACUUUGGAACAAAGUAUGGUUUUUAUAACUGGAAUAAUCAUGUACUGUAGAUCCACUUCGGUGUGAAACGGCUGCAUCUGCAUAAGGUUUUCCCGUGGUGGAAGCAUGCCCCAUAGAAUGCUGUUACAGAUGCAACGGGAAUCAUUUUGGCCACUGCUGUCUGUAAUCAGGCCAAGGCUGCAGCUGCUGCCACCUCCUGGGAGAAGAUAGACCUCAGCUUCAUAUCCGAGUCUGGUCUCAGAGUUCACCUAUGACUUGGGCAAAGAACCUUUUGGCUGCAUGAAGGCACAGCAGCCCUCUCCUCUGGAAGAUGUAGCAACAAGGCACCACUUCUGGAAGCAGAAAGUCUGGGCCCUCACUGACACUGAACCUGCUCACACCUAGAUGUUGACUGUUAACCUCUAGAACUGUGAGAAAUAAAUUUACGUUCUUUAUAAAUUA